Molecule: Y RNA, 103 nt
Filed under: Microcebus murinus (gray mouse lemur)
Lineage: Eukaryota; Metazoa; Chordata; Mammalia; Primates; Cheirogaleidae
Description: Y RNA (ENSMICG00000042995.1)
Rfam family: Y RNA
About the family: Y RNAs are components of the Ro ribonucleoprotein particle (Ro RNP), in association with Ro60 and La proteins. The Y RNAs and Ro60 and La proteins are well conserved, but the function of the Ro RNP is not known.
Source: Rfam by way of RNAcentral
GGCUGGUCCGAAGGUAGUGAGUUAUCUCACAUGAUUGUUACAGAUUAAACUCCUUGUUCUACUACUUUCCCCCCUCCUCACUAUUGCACUUGACUAGUCUUAA